This 1328-nucleotide long non-coding RNA is filed under the name Notechis scutatus (mainland tiger snake). RNAcentral describes it as "lncRNA (ENSNSUG00000012674.1)". Lineage: Eukaryota; Metazoa; Chordata; Lepidosauria; Squamata; Elapidae. The record is from RNAcentral.
CCAGCUGACAAGUCUCUGGCCCGCCACAGACGCGCCUGCGCCCCGCAACCAAGACCGGGCAUACCAAAAGUCUGAGAGGAGGCUUGUUGGAAACUACCCCUCACUGAGCCGUUCUUAUGGCAACCGAGCCGGAGCGAUAAACACUCUCCCGCGCGAGCGGACAAGGGCAGGAAGCGGAGAGCGGACUCGCCGGGCGCCUCACCUGUAGCCACAGCUGAGAAGACUCACCUGGGUUGCCUGGCGCCCUUGGGAGCCGCUGCUAUAACCACGCCAUGGGGUGCUCGAGCAGCGCUCAGACCAAAGUCAAGGAGUUCGGCCGACAAACUCCCAAAUCCCCGGAGACCAACGGAUUGUCCCAGUGCGAUGACAGCUUGCCUAUCACAGAUAAAAAUGACACAGAAUCUGACCAGACUAAACUUGAACCCCUAGAGGAGGAGAAGCUUGGAUCUUCUUGGAAAAAAACAGAUGAGGAUCUCUGUAAAGAGGAGCCUGAUGCUUUGAUUCAGGAAAUAACAAAAUGUGACCUUUCUACCUGUCACAGAGUAGAUCCUGAGGGUACAGAGCCUCAGCUAACAGCACCAGAAGAAAAGUUUGACAGAAGUCAGUGCUUAUCUUUAGACUUCCUUGAAGCUGCUGGGUCUCAGGCUGUGAAGUCAACAGAGUUGGCUAGCAAUCCUCAAGUUGCCACAGAAGCUGCUGGUUCUUCACAUUUAGAAUCUCUCCAGGAUAAGAAGCCUGAACCUACUGAAACCUCAGAAGGGGGCACACCUGAGCCUUCAACAGAGGAAAUCCGAUGUUUUGUAAGAGAAAUUGUGACAGAACUGCUUGUGGAUGAAGAGGAACAACUAACAGAGGUUACUGUCCCAGGUGAGGCAGGAGAAAAGGUGGAAACUGAGACGCACCAUGAGGUAAUACCUGGGGCCUCGGAAACAAAAGAAGAAACCAGAGAAGCUACACUGGUCACGGAGAUAAAACAAGCUAAUGAAGAAUGACCCAGGGUUUCUGGCUGGACUUCAUGGCUAAACUUUAUGGCUUCUGGCUGGACCUUAUCCUUGUUCGCUCAGUUAAAAUGUAUAUUCCUGUUUGACAAAAAUCUAGUUGUUAUAAAAGCUUGUAUAAACUUAUCACAACUACUGAAUACUAAGUGAAAACCAUUUUAAGAAAUUUUAAUGGAAAAAUCAAGUUGCCAAGGCACCACUGAGGAACUGCAUUGUUAAACCAUCACACCUGCCAGAAAGUGCCUCCUGCUAUUGUUUCAAUGGAACUACAAAUUGCAGAACACUCUUACUUGCUUUAGGUAGAAAAUAAAUAUGAAGGAUAAUAUAGCA